UACAGAGGGUGCAAGCGUUAAUCGGAAUUACUGGGCGUAAAGCGCACGUAGGCGGCUUGGUAUGUCGGGUGUGAAAUCCCCGGGCUCAACCUGGGAACUGCAUCCGAAACUGCCUUGCUGGAGUAUGGGAGAGGGAAGCGGAAUUUCCGGUGUAGCGGUGAAAUGCGUAGAUAUCGGAAGGAACAUCAGUGGCGAAGGCGGCUUCCUGGCCCAAUACUGACGCUCAGGUGCGAAAGCGUGGGGAGCAAACAGG
RNAcentral lists this ribosomal RNA (253 nucleotides) under uncultured bacterium. RNAcentral's name for it is "partial 16S ribosomal RNA". It matches the Rfam family "Bacterial small subunit ribosomal RNA", at positions 524 to 776 of the family's 1533-position model. The record is from RNAcentral.